Molecule: ribosomal RNA, 292 nt
Filed under: uncultured bacterium
Lineage: Bacteria
Description: partial 16S ribosomal RNA
Rfam family: Bacterial small subunit ribosomal RNA
Source: RNAcentral
GUGCCAGCAGCCGCGGUAAGACAGAGGGGGCAAGCGUUGCUCGGAAUUACUGGGCGUAAAGGGCGCGUAGGCGGGAUGGCAAGUCGGUCGUGAAAUCCCUGGGCUCAACUCAGGGGGGUCGGCCGAUACUGCCAUUCUUGAGGGAUGCAGAGGAGACUGGAAUUCCCGGUGUAGCGGUGAAAUGUGUAGAGAUCGGGAGGAACACCGGUGGCGAAGGCGGGUCUCUGGGCAUUCCCUGACGCUGAGGCGCGAAAGCGUGGGGAGCAAACGGGAUUAGAUACCCCAGUAGUCC